RNAcentral lists this ribosomal RNA (496 nucleotides) under uncultured bacterium. RNAcentral describes it as "partial 16S ribosomal RNA". It matches the Rfam family "Bacterial small subunit ribosomal RNA", at positions 29 to 507 of the family's 1533-position model. The record is from RNAcentral.
AUGCACGCUGGCGGCGUGCCUAAUACAUGCAAGUCGAGCGAACAGACGAGGAGCUUGCUCCUCUGACGUUAGCGGCGGACGGGUGAGUAACACGUGGAUAACCUACCUAUAAGACUGGGAUAACUUCGGGAAACCGGAGCUAAUACCGGAUAAUAUAUUGAACCGCAUGGUUCAAUAGUGAAAGACGGUUUUGCUGUCACUUAUAGAUGGAUCCGCGCCGCAUUAGCUAGUUGGUAUGGUAACGGCUUACCAAGGCAACGAUGCGUAGCCGACCUGAGAGGGUGAUCGGCCACACUGGAACUGAGACACGGUCCAGACUCCUACGGGAGGCAGCAGUAGGGAAUCUUCCGCAAUGGGCGAAAGCCUGACGGAGCAACGCCGCGUGAGUGAUGAAGGUCUUCGGAUCGUAAAACUCUGUUAUUAGGGAAGAACAAAUGUGUAAGUAACUAUGCACGUCUUGACGGUACCUAAUCAGAAAGCCACGGCUAACUACGUG